AGGGCCGAUAGCUCAGUUGGUUAGAGCUCCCGGCUCAUAACCGGGCGGUCGAAGGUUCAAGUCCUUCUGGUCCCACCA
RNAcentral lists this transfer RNA (78 nucleotides) under Ruminococcus sp. RNAcentral's name for it is "tRNA-Ile". It matches the Rfam family "tRNA". From Rfam's summary of the family: Transfer RNA (tRNA) molecules are approximately 80 nucleotides in length. Their secondary structure includes four short double-helical elements and three loops (D, anti-codon, and T loops). Further hydrogen bonds mediate the characteristic L-shaped molecular structure. tRNAs have two regions of fundamental functional importance: the anti-codon, which is responsible for specific mRNA codon recognition, and the 3' end, to which the tRNAs corresponding amino acid is attached (by aminoacyl-tRNA synthetases). tRNAs cope with the degeneracy of the genetic code in two manners: having more than one tRNA (with a specific anti-codon) for a particular amino acid; and 'wobble' base-pairing, i.e. permitting non-standard base-pairing at the 3rd anti-codon position. The record is from RNAcentral. Lineage: Bacteria; Bacillati; Bacillota; Clostridia; Eubacteriales; Oscillospiraceae.